GAUGAACGCUGGCGGCGUGCCUAAUACAUGCAAGUCGAGCGAACAGACGAGGAGCUUGCUCCUCUGACGUUAGCGGCGGACGGGUGAGUAACACGUGGAUAACCUACCUAUAAGACUGGGAUAACUUCGGGAAACCGGAGCUAAUACCGGAUAAUAUAUUGAACCGCAUGGUUCAAUAGUGAAAGACGGUUUUGCUGUCACUUAUAGAUGGAUCCGCGCCGCAUUAGCUAGUUGGUAAGGUAACGGCUUACCAAGGGAACGAUGCGUAGCCGACCUGAGAGGGUGAUCGGCCACACUGGAACUGGAACACGGUCCAGACUCCUACGGGAGGCAGCAGUAGGGAAUCUUCCGCAAUGGGCGAAAGCCUGACGGAGCAACGCCGCGUGAGCGAUGAAGGUCUUCGGAUCGUAAAACUCUGUUAUUAGGGAAGAACAAAUGUGUAAGUAACUAUGCACGUCUUGACGGUACCUAAUCAGAAAGCCACGGCUAACUACGUG
RNAcentral lists this ribosomal RNA (497 nucleotides) under uncultured bacterium. RNAcentral describes it as "partial 16S ribosomal RNA". It matches the Rfam family "Bacterial small subunit ribosomal RNA", at positions 28 to 507 of the family's 1533-position model. The record is from RNAcentral.